RNAcentral lists this unclassified non-coding RNA (240 nucleotides) under soil metagenome. RNAcentral describes it as "partial contains 5.8S ribosomal RNA, internal transcribed spacer 2, and large subunit ribosomal RNA". The record is from RNAcentral.
AACCUAGCACACCUGCGGUGUGUACCUGCGGAAGGAUCAUUAAAAAACUUUGCCCGCGGACCUUGGGUCCAAGGCGCAAAACCCACACUAUGUGCACUGUUAUCGUUCUUUUGGCAGGGGCUUGGGGUGUCUUCCAACUUGGGGAACCUCAACUUCUCGUCUAGCUCUAUCCACCUCGGACAGCUGGACAUGAGAAGCAGUUACUCUGCCAAGUGACCCUUAAAAACACGCUUUUUGUCU